This 311-nucleotide long non-coding RNA is filed under the name Theobroma cacao (cacao). Its description in RNAcentral is "long non-coding RNA (TCAC_LNC004925)". Lineage: Eukaryota; Viridiplantae; Streptophyta; Magnoliopsida; Malvales; Malvaceae. The record is from RNAcentral.
UUAUAAAUCAGGUGGUAGAUAAAAUAAUCCAUAGUCACUGCAGUGGUGGGGGUUUCCGUGGACUGCCUAUGAGAGGGGCACGGUAACCCAAUUAUAUAUUUACCUCUGGGGGGAGAUGUUGGAUGAAGUAUCUCCUAAGGUAAAGAUUUAAGUGCACUUCACGUGGACCACCGCAUGAGAGUGAGACUCAGCUAACGCCAAGACAUGGCUAAAAUUUCAGAUGUAAAGACAUUUAACAACCUUGGCGGACUUGAUUGGGAUAACCCUCGAUCAAGGUAUCCCUGAUAACUGAGUAUCAAAAUAAUUUUUGG